CCUACGGGAGGCAGCAGUGGGGAAUCUUGCGCAAUGCGCGAAAGCGUGACGCAGCAACGCCGCGUGAGGGAAGAAGGCUUUCGGGUUGUAAACCUCUUUCAGGAGGGACGCGGUACCUCCAGAAGAAGCCCCGGCUAACUACGUGCCAGCAGCCGCGGUAAUACGUAGGGGGCUAGCGUUGUCCGGAAUCAUUGGGCGUAAAGAGCGUGUAGGCGGCCCGGUAAGUCCGCUGUAAAAGUCAAAGGCUCAACCUUUGAAUGUCAGUGGAUACUGCCGGGCUAGAGUCCGGAAGAGGCGAGUGGAACUCCUGGUGUAGCGGUGGAAUGCGCAGAUAUCAGGAAGAACACCAACGGCGAAGGCAGCUCGCUAACGGUACUGACGCUGAGACGCGAAAGCGUGGGGAGCGAACAGGAUUAGAUACCCUUGUAGUC
RNAcentral lists this ribosomal RNA (431 nucleotides) under uncultured bacterium. Its description in RNAcentral is "partial 16S ribosomal RNA". It matches the Rfam family "Bacterial small subunit ribosomal RNA", at positions 338 to 795 of the family's 1533-position model. The record is from RNAcentral.